CUUCCCCACAGUUACUCAUCAGAGAGAGAUGUUUCACCCUGCACAUGCAAAGCAAGUAGACAAACACAGGUGCCAGAGGUGAAUUGCUGCAUCUGGCACUUCUCAUCUUCCCACUCAUCUCUGGGCACCUGUUACCAUCAUCUGUCCAGCAGAGAGAAGUCCCUCCAUCAGAGGAAUGGAAGGGAGGACAUACUAGAUGAAGGAGGAGCUCAGAGUAUUCGCUGUCCUUCCACCUCUACAGUCCUCUCUCUGUGGCCCUUUGUGUGGGAGUAGCUGCACAUUGUUGCAUCUG
This 292-nucleotide long non-coding RNA is filed under the name Zonotrichia albicollis (white-throated sparrow). RNAcentral describes it as "lncRNA (ENSZALG00000007412.1)". Lineage: Eukaryota; Metazoa; Chordata; Aves; Passeriformes; Passerellidae. The record is from RNAcentral.